RNAcentral lists this transfer RNA (69 nucleotides) under Apogon semilineatus (half-lined cardinal). RNAcentral describes it as "tRNA-Glu". It matches the Rfam family "tRNA". Rfam says of the family: Transfer RNA (tRNA) molecules are approximately 80 nucleotides in length. Their secondary structure includes four short double-helical elements and three loops (D, anti-codon, and T loops). RNAcentral also lists the same sequence under 3 other names. Lineage: Eukaryota; Metazoa; Chordata; Actinopteri; Kurtiformes; Apogonidae. The record is from RNAcentral.
GUUUCUGUAGUUGAAUAACAACGGUGGUUUUUCAAGUCACUGGUCCUGGUUAGAAUCCUGGUGGAAAUU